GGAAUCUUGCGCAAUGGGCGAAAGCCUGACGCAGCAACGCCGCGUGCGGGAAGAAGGCUUUCGGGCUGUAAACCGCUUUCAGUAGGAACGAAACUGACGGUACCUACAGAAGAAGGAGCGGCCAACUAUGUGCCAGCAGCCGCGGUGACACAUAGGCUCCAAGCGUUGUCCGGAUUUAUUGGGCGUAAAGAGCUCGUAGGCGGUUGAGUAAGUCGGGUGUGAAAACUUUGGGCUUAACCCAAAGAUGCCACUCGAUACUGCUUUGACUUGAGUUCGGUAGGGGAGUGGGGAAUUCCUUGUGUAGCGGUGAAAUGCGCAGAUAUAAGGAGGAACACCGGUGGCGAAGGCGCCACUCUGGGCCGAUACUGACGCUGAGGAGCGAAAGCGUGGGGAGCAAACGGGAUUAGAUACCCUGGUAGUCCACGCGGUAAACGGUGGUCACUAGGUGUGGGUCUCUACCAAUGAGAUCUGCGCCGUCGCUAACGCAUUAAGUGACCCGCCUGGGGAGUACGGUCGCAAGACUAAAACUCAAAGGAAUUGACGG
RNAcentral lists this ribosomal RNA (544 nucleotides) under uncultured bacterium. RNAcentral's name for it is "bacterial SSU rRNA". It matches the Rfam family "Bacterial small subunit ribosomal RNA", at positions 358 to 916 of the family's 1533-position model. The record is from RNAcentral.